CGGGGCGUGGCUCAGCUCGGUAGAGCGCUGCGUUCGGGACGCAGAGGUCCCCGGUUCAAAUCCGGGCGCCCCGA
Molecule: transfer RNA, 74 nt
Filed under: Gemmatimonadota bacterium
Lineage: Bacteria; Pseudomonadati; Gemmatimonadota
Description: Gemmatimonadetes bacterium (marine metagenome) tRNA-Pro
Rfam family: tRNA
About the family: Transfer RNA (tRNA) molecules are approximately 80 nucleotides in length. Their secondary structure includes four short double-helical elements and three loops (D, anti-codon, and T loops). Further hydrogen bonds mediate the characteristic L-shaped molecular structure. tRNAs have two regions of fundamental functional importance: the anti-codon, which is responsible for specific mRNA codon recognition, and the 3' end, to which the tRNAs corresponding amino acid is attached (by aminoacyl-tRNA synthetases). tRNAs cope with the degeneracy of the genetic code in two manners: having more than one tRNA (with a specific anti-codon) for a particular amino acid; and 'wobble' base-pairing, i.e. permitting non-standard base-pairing at the 3rd anti-codon position.
Source: RNAcentral